AGAGUUUGAUCCUGGCUCCGGAUGAACGCCAGCGGCCGGCCCAACACCUGCCAGUCCAGGGGCAGCCUUACUUUUCCGAGUAGAUGGCGACCGGCGCCCGGGUGCCUAACCCCUAUGCCACCCACCUUUUACCAAGGAAUAGCCCGGAGAAAUCCGGAUUAAUACCCUAUGGUACCUAUGAAGUGGCAUCACUUUAUGGUUAAAGAUUUAUUGGUAAAAGAUGGGCAUGCGUGACAUUAGCUAGUUGGUGAGGUAAAAGCUCACCAAGGCGACGAUGUCUAGGGGGUCUGAGAGGAUGAUCCCCCCACACUGGUACUGAGACACGGACCAGACUCCUACGGGAGGCAGCAGUGAGGAAUAUUGGUCAAUGGGCGAGAGCCUGAACCAGCCAUGCCGCGUGCAGGAAGACGGCCUUCUGGGUUGUAAACUGCUUUUAUACGGGAGCAAAAAGACCCUGCGGGGUAAAUUGAGAGUAUCGUAUGAAUAAGCACCGGCUAACUCCGUGCCAGCAGCCGCGGUAAUACGGAGGGUGCAAGCGUUGUCCGGAUUUAUUGGGUUUAAAGGGUGCGUAGGCGGCGUAAUAAGUCAGUGGUGAAAGCCGGCAGCUCAACUGUCGAGGUGCCAUUGAAACUGUUAUGCUUGAGUACAGACGAGGUAGGCGGAAUUUAUGAUGUAGCGGUGAAAUGCAUAGAUAUCAUA
This 699-nucleotide ribosomal RNA is filed under the name uncultured bacterium. RNAcentral's name for it is "bacterial SSU rRNA". It matches the Rfam family "Bacterial small subunit ribosomal RNA", at positions 8 to 701 of the family's 1533-position model. The record is from RNAcentral.